GACCAUCCCAGUUCGGAUUGCAGGCUGCAACCCGCCUGUAUGAAGUUGGAAUCGCUAGUAAUCGCGGAUCAGCAUGCCGCGGUGAAUACGUUCCCGGGCCUUGUACACACCGCCCGUCACACCAUGAGAGUCGGGAACACCCGAAGUCCGUAGCCUAACCGCAAGGAGGGCGCGGCCGAAGGUGGGUUCGAUAAUUGGGGUGAAGUCGUAACAAGGUACC
This 220-nucleotide ribosomal RNA is filed under the name uncultured bacterium. RNAcentral describes it as "partial 16S ribosomal RNA". It matches the Rfam family "Bacterial small subunit ribosomal RNA", at positions 1281 to 1500 of the family's 1533-position model. The record is from RNAcentral.